This 403-nucleotide ribosomal RNA is filed under the name uncultured bacterium. Its description in RNAcentral is "partial 16S ribosomal RNA". It matches the Rfam family "Bacterial small subunit ribosomal RNA", at positions 28 to 526 of the family's 1533-position model. The record is from RNAcentral.
GACGAACGCUGGCGGCGUGCCUAAUACAUGCAAGUCGAACGCAGUGGGGACGGGUGAGUAACACGUGGGUAACCUCCCAUCAGAGGGGAUAACACUUGGAAACAGGUGCUAAACCGAUACUGAUUGAUGGAGCCGCGGUGCAUUAGCUAGUUGGUGAGGUAACGGCUCACCAAGGCGACGAUGCAUAGCCGACCUGAGAGGGGGAGCGGCCACACUGGGACUGAGACACGGCCCAGACUCCUACGGGAGGCAGCAGUGGGGAAUAUUGGGCAAUGGACGAAAGUCUGAUCGAGCAACGCCGCGUGAGUGAAGAAGGUCUUCGGAUUGUAAAACUCUGUUGUUAGAGAAGCGGUAUCUACCCAGAAAGCCACGGCUAACUACGUGCCAGCCGCCGCGGUAAUAC